UACGUAGGUCCCGAGCGUUGUCCGGAUUUAUUGGGCGUAAAGCGAGCGCAGGUGGCUUAUUAAGUCUGGUGUAAAAGGCAGUGGCUCAACCAUUGUAUGCAUUGGAAACUGGUAGACUUGAGUGCAGGAGAGGAGAGUGGAAUUCCAUGUGUAGCGGUGAAAUGCGUAGAUAUAUGGAGGAACACCGGUGGCGAAAGCGGCUCUCUGGCCUGUAACUGACACUGAGGCUCGAAAGCGUGGGGAGCAAACAGG
Molecule: ribosomal RNA, 252 nt
Filed under: uncultured bacterium
Lineage: Bacteria
Description: partial 16S ribosomal RNA
Rfam family: Bacterial small subunit ribosomal RNA
Source: RNAcentral